RNAcentral lists this ribosomal RNA (396 nucleotides) under uncultured bacterium. RNAcentral describes it as "partial 16S ribosomal RNA". It matches the Rfam family "Bacterial small subunit ribosomal RNA", at positions 338 to 731 of the family's 1533-position model. The record is from RNAcentral.
CCUACGGGUGGCAGCAGUGAGGAAUAUUGGUCAAUGGGCGAGAGCCUGAACCAGCCAAGUCGCGUGAAGGAAGACGGUCCUAUGGAUUGUAAACCUCUUUUGCCGGGGAGCAAAACGCGAUACGUGUACCGCAUCGAGAGUACCCGGAGAAAAAGCAUCGGCUAACUCCGUGCCAGCAGCCGCGGUAAUACGGAGGAUGCGAGCGUUAUCCGGAUUUAUUGGGUUUAAAGGGUGCGCAGGCGGUCUGUUAAGUCAGCGGUGAAAGCCCGGGGCUCAACCCCGAGCCCGCCUUGAAACCUGGUAGUCUCGAGUUGGAGAGAGGUAGGCGGAAUGUGCGGUGUAGCGGUGAAAUGCAUAGAGAUCGCGCAGAACUCCGAUUGCGAAGGCAGCAUGCCG